Molecule: ribosomal RNA, 482 nt
Filed under: uncultured bacterium
Lineage: Bacteria
Description: partial 16S ribosomal RNA
Rfam family: Bacterial small subunit ribosomal RNA
Source: RNAcentral
AUUGAACGCUGGCGGCAUGCCUUACACAUGCAAGUCGAACGGUAACGGGCCUUCGGGUGCCGACGAGUGGCGAACGGGUGAGUAAUACAUCGGAACGUGCCCGAUCGUGGGGGAUAACGAGGCGAAAGCUUUGCUAAUACCGCAUACGAUCUACGGAUGAAAGCAGGGGACCGCAAGGCCUUGCGCGGACGGAGCGGCCGAUGGCAGAUUAGGUAGUUGGUGGGAUAAAAGCUUACCAAGCCGACGAUCUGUAGCUGGUCUGAGAGGAUGAUCAGCCACACUGGGACUGAGACACGGCCCAGACUCCUACGGGAGGCAGCAGUGGGGAAUUUUGGACAAUGGGCGCAAGCCUGAUCCAGCCAUGCCGCGUGCAGGAUGAAGGCCUUCGGGUUGUAAACUGCUUUUGUACGGAACGAAAAGCCUUCUUUUAAUACAGGAGGGUCAUGACGGUACCGUAAUAAUAAGCACCGGCUAACUACGUG